This 611-nucleotide ribosomal RNA is filed under the name Bacillus amyloliquefaciens. Its description in RNAcentral is "bacterial SSU rRNA". It matches the Rfam family "Bacterial small subunit ribosomal RNA", at positions 84 to 680 of the family's 1533-position model. The record is from RNAcentral. Lineage: Bacteria; Bacillati; Bacillota; Bacilli; Caryophanales; Bacillaceae.
CCCUGAUGUUAGCGGCGGACGGGUGAGUAACACGUGGGUAACCUGCCUGUAAGACUGGGAUAACUCCGGGAAACCGGGGCUAAUACCGGAUGCUUGUUUGAACCGCAUGGUUCARACAUAAAAGGUGGCUUCGGCUACCACUUACAGAUGGACCCGCGGCGCAUUAGCUAGUUGGUGAGGUAACGGCUCACCAAGGCGACGAUGCGUAGCCGACCUGAGAGGGUGAUCGGCCACACUGGGACUGAGACACGGCCCAGACUCCUACGGGAGGCAGCAGUAGGGAAUCUUCCGCAAUGGACGAAAGUCUGACGGAGCAACGCCGCGUGAGUGAUGAAGGUUUUCGGAUCGUAAAGCUCUGUUGUUAGGGAAGAACAAGUGCCGUUCAAAUAGGGCGGCACCUUGACGGUACCUAACCAGAAAGCCACGGCUAACUACGUGCCAGCAGCCGCGGUAAUACGUAGGUGGCAAGCGUUGUCCGGAAUUAUUGGGCGUAAAGGGCUCGCAGGCGGUUUCUUAAGUCUGAUGUGAAAGCCCCCGGCUCAACCGGGGAGGGUCAUUGGAAACUGGGGAACUUGAGUGCAGAAGAGGAGAGUGGAAUUCCACGUGUAGCG